UCAUUAAAUGCCUGAAUAAUAAGGAUUGAUCUUUUAAAUCAAACUAUAGUAGCUCUAAUUACUUUUAAUGAA
Molecule: transfer RNA, 72 nt
Filed under: Melecta chinensis
Lineage: Eukaryota; Metazoa; Arthropoda; Insecta; Hymenoptera; Apidae
Description: tRNA-Lys
Source: RNAcentral